This 738-nucleotide ribosomal RNA is filed under the name Yemma signatus. Its description in RNAcentral is "SSU rRNA". It matches the Rfam family "Eukaryotic small subunit ribosomal RNA", at positions 1052 to 1791 of the family's 1831-position model. The record is from RNAcentral. Lineage: Eukaryota; Metazoa; Arthropoda; Insecta; Hemiptera; Berytidae.
AUCCGUCGACGUUCCUAAGAUGACUCGGCGGGGGGCUUCCCCCGGGAAACCAAAGCUUUUGGGUUCCGGGGGAAGUAUGGUUGCAAAGCUGAAACUUAAAGGAAUUGACGGAAGGGCACCACCAGAAGUGGAGCCUGCGGUUCAAUUUGACUCAACACGGGAAACCUCACCAGGCCCGGACAUUGGAAGGAUUGACAGAUCGAUAGCUCUUUCUCGAUUCAGUGGGUAGUGGUGCAUGGCCGUUCUUAGUUGGUGGAUUGAUUUGUCUGGUUAAUUCCGAUAACGAACGAGACUCUGACCUAUUAACUAGGCGAUCCCGGUAUAUACAGCUACCGGCGAGAUUUAUUCUUCUUAAGGGGACAGGCGGCUCUCAGCCGCACGAGAUUGAGCGAGAACAGGUCAGUGAUGCCCUUAGAUGUUCUGGGCCGCACGCGCGCUACACUGAAGGAAUCAGCGUGUGUUCCCCUGUCCGAAGGGUCCGGGUAACCCGCUGAACCUCCUUCGUGCUAGGAAUUGGGGCUUGCAAUUGUUCCCCAUGAACGAGGAAUUCCCAGUAAGCGCGAGUCAUAAGCUCGCGUUGAUUACGUCCCUGCCCUUUGUCCACACCGCCCGUCGCUACUACCGAUUGAAUGAUUUAGUGAGGUCUUCGGACCGGCGAUAACCGGCAUAUCGACUCGCUCGGUAUCGGUUUCGCUGGAAAGAUGACCGAACUUGAUCAUUUAGAGGAAGUAAAAGUCG